UACGGGGGGAGCAAGCGUUGUUCGGAUUUACUGGGCGUAAAGGGCGCGUAAGCGGCGCAACAAGUCACUUGUGAAAUCUCCGGGCUUAACUCGGAAAGGUCAAGUGAUACUGUUGUGCUAGAGUGCGGAAGGGGCAACUGGAAUUCUCGGUGUAGCGGUGAAAUGCGUAGAUAUCGAGAGGAACACCUGCGGCGAAGGCGGGUUGCUGGGCCGACACUGACGCUGAUGCGCGAAAGCCAGGGGAGCAAACGGG
RNAcentral lists this ribosomal RNA (253 nucleotides) under uncultured bacterium. Its description in RNAcentral is "partial 16S ribosomal RNA". It matches the Rfam family "Bacterial small subunit ribosomal RNA", at positions 524 to 776 of the family's 1533-position model. The record is from RNAcentral.